CGGACGGCAGCGCAGUGGAGCUUGCUCCAUGGGUGGCGAGGGGCGGACGGGUGAGGAAUGCAUGGGAAUCUGCCCAGUCGUGGGGGAUAGCGGAGGGAAACUUACGCUAAUACCGCAUGCGCCCUUCGGGGGAAAGGCGGGGACCUUCGGGCCUGGCGCGAUUGGAUGAGCCCAUGUCGGAUUAGCUAGUUGGCGGGGUAAAGGCCCACCAAGGCGACGAUCCGUAGCUGGUCUGAGAGGAUGAUCAGCCACACUGGGACUGAGACACGGCCCAGACUCCUACGGGAGGCAGCAGUAGGGAAUAUUGGACAAUGGGGGCAACCCUGAUCCAGCCAUGCCGCGUGAGUGAAGAAGGCCUUCGGGUUGUAAAGCUCUUUUGUCCGGGAAGAAAAGCAUCUGGCUAAUACCUGGAUGUGUUGACGGUACCGGAAGAAUAAGCACCGGCUAACUUCGUGCCAGCAGCCGCGGUAAUACGAAGGGUGCAAGCGUUACUCGGAAUUACUGGGCGUAAAGCGUGCGUAGGUGGUCUGUUAAGUCUGAUGUGAAAGCCCUGGGCUCAACCUGGGAAUGGCAUUGGAAACUGGCGGGCUAGAGUGCGGUAGAGGGUAGUGGCAUUCCCGGUGUAGCAGUGAAAUGCGUAGAGAUCGGGGAG
This 652-nucleotide ribosomal RNA is filed under the name Thermomonas hydrothermalis. RNAcentral's name for it is "bacterial SSU rRNA". It matches the Rfam family "Bacterial small subunit ribosomal RNA", at positions 63 to 704 of the family's 1533-position model. Lineage: Bacteria; Pseudomonadati; Pseudomonadota; Gammaproteobacteria; Lysobacterales; Lysobacteraceae. The record is from RNAcentral.